Molecule: ribosomal RNA, 695 nt
Filed under: uncultured cyanobacterium
Lineage: Bacteria; Bacillati; Cyanobacteriota
Description: bacterial SSU rRNA
Rfam family: Bacterial small subunit ribosomal RNA
Source: RNAcentral
ACGGGCUCUUCGGAGCUAGUGGCGGACGGGUGAGUAACGCGUGAGAAUCUGCCCUUUGGAGUGGGACAACGACUGGAAACGGUCGCUAACACCGCAUGAGCCGAGAGGUAAAAGUAUUUAUAGCCAAAGGAUGAGCUCGCGUCGGAUUAGCUAGUUGGUAGUGUAAUGGACUACCAAGGCGACGAUCCGUAGCUGGUCUGAGAGGAUGAUCAGCCACACUGGGACUGAGACACGGCCCAGACUCCUACGGGAGGCAGCAGUGGGGAAUUUUCCGCAAUGGGCGCAAGCCUGACGGAGCAAGACCGCGUGGGGGAGGAAGGUCUGUGGAUUGUAAACCCCUUUUGACUGGGAAGAACACAAUGACGGUACCAGUCGAAUCAGCCUCGGCUAACUCCGUGCCAGCAGCCGCGGUAAUACGGAGGAGGCAAGCGUUAUCCGGAUUUAUUGGGCGUAAAGCGUCCGCAGGUGGUUUAUCAAGUCUGCUGUCAAAGCACGGAGCUUAACUUCGUAUCGGCAGUGGAAACUGAUGAACUUGAGUGUGAUAGGGGCAGAGGGAAUUCCCAGUGUAGCGGUGAAAUGCGUAGAGAUUGGGAAGAACACCGGUGGCGAAAGCGCUCUGCUGGGUCAUAACUGACACUGAGGGACGAAAGCUAGGGGAGCGAAAGGGAUUAGAUACCCCUGUAGUCCUAGCCGUA